AGGACCAUCUCCCAAGGCUAAAUACUCCCUAGUGACCGAUAGUGAACCAGUACCGUGAGGGAAAGGUGAAAAGCACCCCGGAAGGGGAGUGAAACAGUUCCUGAAACCGUGUGCCUACAAGUAGUUAGAGCCCGUUAAUGGGUGAUAGCGUGCCUUUUGUAGAAUGAACCGGCGAGUUACGAUUUGUUGCAAGGUUAAGCGGAAAAAGCGGAGCCGUAGCGAAAGCGAGUCUGAAUAGGGCGCAUAAGUAACAGGUCGUAGACCCGAAACCAGGUGAUCUACCCAUGUCCAGGAUGAAGGUAAGGUAAUACUUACUGGAGGUCCGAACCCACGCACGUUGAAAAGUGCGGGGAUGAGGUGUGGGUAGCGGAGAAAUUCCAAUCGAACUUGGAGAUAGCUGGUUCUCUCCGAAAUAGCUUUAGGGCUAGCCUCGAGGUAAAGAGUCAUGGAGGUAGAGCACUGUUUGGACUAGGGGCCCUUCUCGGGUUACCGAAUUCAGAUAAACUCCGAAUGCCAUGUACUUAUACUCGGGAGUCAGACUGCGAGUGAUAAGAUCCGUAGUCGAAAGGGAAACAGCC
RNAcentral lists this ribosomal RNA (578 nucleotides) under Listeria monocytogenes. RNAcentral describes it as "partial 23S ribosomal RNA". It matches the Rfam family "Bacterial large subunit ribosomal RNA", at positions 449 to 1027 of the family's 2925-position model. The record is from RNAcentral. Lineage: Bacteria; Bacillati; Bacillota; Bacilli; Caryophanales; Listeriaceae.